UGGCAGUGUAUUGUUAGCUGGAUGGAUAUCCAAAUGGCACCAGCUGACAUUCAGCUGCCAGC
RNAcentral lists this microRNA precursor (62 nucleotides) under Python bivittatus (Burmese python). RNAcentral's name for it is "Pbv-Mir-34-P3c_pre stem-loop". Lineage: Eukaryota; Metazoa; Chordata; Lepidosauria; Squamata; Pythonidae. The record is from RNAcentral.